AGAGAAUAUUGCCUGGGAGCACACCUGUAGGUCCUUCUGAACGAUGACGUUGCCAGGGAGAGAAAAAAAAAAGUUUUGUUUUUGGCAUUCUGGCCUGGAGCAUCUGAGAAACACAGGGUUUCCCCCGAACACCUGUUCUGUAUUUCCCAUCGGAGCGACUCCAGCGAAAAGCUGCGUGUUAAGACAUUAACUGCCCAAGGCUGUUUCCUUGGACUCCUUGUCUGUGAAAUGAAGCAAAACUACACUGCUUGGAUGGAGUGAGAAAAGAAAGAGCUCAUGGAGUGCAAGUGACUUUCCCAACAUUAUGGAGAGAGGAGGUGCUGUUACUGGUACCCUCCUAUGCCUGGUCCAAGGUCAGCACACUUAGCUGACUAAGCUCAGGAGGCAGUAAGCAGGCUCCUAAAAGCAGUUGGGGGCAGUGCAUGCAGUCUCUUCAUUGUCAAAACAACAGUAGGCUUCAUGCAGACAAAUAAGUUCUCGUAAAUACCUUGAAAGAACCCUGGAAAAGUCUUGGACCUGCGCACAGUGACAAGGCCAGGAGAAAUCCUUCACCCUGUCCGUCUUUACUUAGCACCUCCCAUUUUGAUGUGAAGUUUCUAGGUUUUGUCAUGGUCACUGUGGUUGCUAUAGAAACAGAGCAACAA
Molecule: long non-coding RNA, 644 nt
Filed under: Mus pahari (shrew mouse)
Lineage: Eukaryota; Metazoa; Chordata; Mammalia; Rodentia; Muridae
Description: lncRNA (MGP_PahariEiJ_G0003745.1)
Source: RNAcentral